GCCUAAGACAUGCAAGUCGAACGAAGUGGCCCAUUGAAGAUUGAGUGCUUGCACAAUUUCUGAUUUGGAUUUCCACUUAGUGGCAGACGGGUGAGUAACACGUGGGUAACCUACCUGGAGACUGGGAUAACUACUGGAAACGGUAGCUAAUACCGGAUGAUUCAUAAUUAGAUAACUAGUUAUGCUAAAAGGAGCGUUUGCUUCACUUCAGGAUGGGCUUGCGUUGUAUUAGCUAGUUGGUGGGGUAAUGGCCUACCAAGGCAACGAUGCAUAUCCGAACUGAGAGGUUGAUCGGACACAUUGGGACUGAGACACGGCCCAGACUCCUACGGGAGACAGCAGUUAGGAAUAUUCGUCAAUGGGGGAAACCCUGAACGAGCAAUGCCGCGUGAGUGAUGAAGGUCUUAUUGAUCGUAAAACUCUGUUGUAAGGAAAGAAACCUUAUCAUAGGAAAUGAUGAUAAGCUGACGGUACCUUACCAGAAAGCCCCGGCUAACUACGUG
This 503-nucleotide ribosomal RNA is filed under the name uncultured bacterium. RNAcentral's name for it is "bacterial SSU rRNA". It matches the Rfam family "Bacterial small subunit ribosomal RNA", at positions 46 to 507 of the family's 1533-position model. The record is from RNAcentral.